This 253-nucleotide ribosomal RNA is filed under the name uncultured bacterium. Its description in RNAcentral is "partial 16S ribosomal RNA". It matches the Rfam family "Bacterial small subunit ribosomal RNA", at positions 524 to 776 of the family's 1533-position model. The record is from RNAcentral.
UACGGAGCUGGCAAGCGUUGCUCGGAAUCACUGGGCGUAAAGGGCUCGUAGGCGGGGAGGUAAGUCGGGUGUGAAAUCCCUCGGCCCAACUGAGGAACUGCGCCCGAGACUGCUUCUCUUGAGUCCCGGAGAGGAAGAUGGAAUUCCCGGUGUAGCGGUGAAAUGUGUAGAGAUCAUGAGGAAGACCAGUGGCGAAGGCGGGUCUCUGGACAGUUCCUGACACUGAGGCACGAAGGCCAGGGGAGCAAACGGG